GGCACGAUGUUGUAAAACCUGGAGCUGGAGCUGGAGCUUCGAUUGCAGCAUCUGAAGAAGGAACUGAUUCUUCCGAUCUAGAUGGUAAAAGAAGAAGGAACCCUUUAACCUGACGUGAGCAUUGAUGUAAGUUUUGUGGGUGUGCAUUAAAUGUAAUCACCGUAUGUUGCAUGCUUCGAACGGCCAUCGUCCACCACAAUUUUGUCUUUGUUUCUAUUUCUAUUUUCAUUUUGUUUUUUUCUCUGAGAAAAAAAAUAAAUAAAUAAAAAAAAAUGCCAUGUUUCUAGGGGCGUGGGAUUUUGUUCUGGCAUUUGUUUGCCUUUGUUGAUGCCCUCUCAUUUAUCCACCCAUU
This 352-nucleotide long non-coding RNA is filed under the name Physcomitrium patens. RNAcentral describes it as "long non-coding RNA (PPAT_LNC004298)". The record is from RNAcentral. Lineage: Eukaryota; Viridiplantae; Streptophyta; Bryopsida; Funariales; Funariaceae.